GUGUCAGCAGCCGCGGUAAUACGGAGGGAGCUAGCGUUGUUCGGAAUUACUGGGCGUAAAGCGUACGUAGGCGGUUAUUCAAGUCAGGGGUGAAAGCCUGGAGCUCAACUCCAGAACUGCCCUUGAAACUAGAUAACUAGAAUCUUGGAGAGGUGAGUGGAAUUCCGAGUGUAGAGGUGAAAUUCGUAGAUAUUCGGAAGAACACCAGUGGCGAAGGCGACUCACUGGACAAGUAUUGACGCUGAGGUACGAAAGCGUGGGGAGCAAACAGGAUUAGAUACCCUGGUAGUCCACGCCGUAAACGAUGAUAACUAGCUGUUCGGGCUCUACGAGCUUGAGUGGCGCAGCUAACGCAUUAAGUUAUCCGCCUGGGGAGUACGGUCGCAAGAUUAAA
RNAcentral lists this ribosomal RNA (394 nucleotides) under uncultured bacterium. RNAcentral describes it as "bacterial SSU rRNA". It matches the Rfam family "Bacterial small subunit ribosomal RNA", at positions 505 to 898 of the family's 1533-position model. The record is from RNAcentral.